Molecule: ribosomal RNA, 500 nt
Filed under: uncultured bacterium
Lineage: Bacteria
Description: partial 16S ribosomal RNA
Rfam family: Bacterial small subunit ribosomal RNA
Source: RNAcentral
AUUGAACGCUGGCGGCAUGCCUUACACAUGCAAGUCGAACGGCAGCACGGGAGCAAUCCUGGUGGCGAGUGGCGAACGGGUGAGUAAAGUAUCGGAACGUGCCCAGUCGUGGGGGAUAACGUAGCGAAAGUUACGCUAAUACCGCAUACGACCUAUGGAUGAAAGCGGGGGAUCGCAAGACCUCGCGCGAUUGGAGCGGCCGAUAUCAGACUAGGUAGUUGGUGGGGUUAAGGCUCACCAAGCCGACGAUCUGUAGCUGGUCUGGGAGGACGACCAGCAGCGCUGGGACUGAGACACGGACCAGACUCCUACGGGAGGCAGCAGUGGGGAAUUUUGGACAAUGGGCGAAAGCCUGACUCAGCCAUGCCGCGUGCAGGAUGAAGGCCUUCGGGUUGUGAACUGCUUUUGUACGGAACGAAAAGGUUUGGGCUAAUAAGCUGAGCUCAUGACGGUACCGUAAGAAUAAGCACCGGCUAACUACGUGCCAGCCGCCGCCGUAA